GGAUCAAUUGAUUGGUCAUGCCUACGGUAUGUACUAGUCAUAUUGGUUCUCACCUUCUAAUGAACCUUAAUGUCAUUCACUUGAUGUUUUGGGGAAUUAGGACUGUUACCUUGAAAAAAUUAGAGUGUUUAAAGCAGGCUUACGCUUGAAUACAUUAGCAUGGAAUAAUGAAAUAGGACA
RNAcentral lists this ribosomal RNA (180 nucleotides) under uncultured Glomeromycotina. RNAcentral's name for it is "partial small subunit ribosomal RNA". It matches the Rfam family "Eukaryotic small subunit ribosomal RNA", at positions 653 to 829 of the family's 1831-position model. Lineage: Eukaryota; Fungi; Glomeromycota. The record is from RNAcentral.